This 683-nucleotide long non-coding RNA is filed under the name Phasianus colchicus (ring-necked pheasant). RNAcentral describes it as "lncRNA (ENSPCLG00000020108.1)". The record is from RNAcentral. Lineage: Eukaryota; Metazoa; Chordata; Aves; Galliformes; Phasianidae.
GCUGAGGGGGCAACUGGGAGCACUGGGAGCAACUGGGGGGGCAACUGGGAGCGGCUGGGGGGCAACUGGGAGCACUGGGGGGCAACUGGUCCUUACUGGUCCUUACUGGUUGUUAGUAGGUCUUAUUGGUCCUUACUGGUUGUUAGUAGUUCUUAGUGGUCCUUACUGGUUCUUAUUGGUGUUACUGGUCCUUACUGGUCCUUACUGGUGUUACUGGUCCUUACUGGUUUUUACGGCUCUUUACUGGUUCUUCCUGGUUUUUGCUGGUGUUACUGGUCCUUACUGGUGUUACUGGUCCUUAUUGGUCCUUAAUGGUCCUUACUGGUGUUACCGGUGCUACUGGUCCUUACUGGUCCUUACUGGUAUUAGUGGUUGUUACUGGUUGUUACUGGUAUUACUACUCCUUACUGGUGUUACUGAUCCUUACUGGUCCUUACUGGUCCUUACUGGUGUUACUGAUCCUUACUGGUCCUUACUGGUCCUUACUGGUGCUACUGGUCCUUACUGGUCCUUACUGGUGUUACUGGUGUUACUGGUGCUACUGGUCCUUACUGGUCCUUACUGGUGUUGCCGGUGCCCGCUUGCAGCGCCGCCAGCAGCAGCCGCCACAACCCGGUGCAGCUGUGGGACGCCUACGACGGCCGCGUCAGGGGCAGCUUCCGGGCCCACAACCACCUGGUGAG